GGCUGUCUUCGCGGCGGAGCUCGACCGCCCGUCCAGUCGAUGACCCAGUUCAUCGAUCAGCACAAGCACGAGUUCGGAGUCGAGCCGAUCUGCAGGACGUUGCAGCUCGCCCCG
Gordonia sputi NBRC 100414 is the source of this 114-nucleotide non-coding RNA. The record is from Rfam. Lineage: Bacteria; Bacillati; Actinomycetota; Actinomycetes; Mycobacteriales; Gordoniaceae.